RNAcentral lists this transfer RNA (77 nucleotides) under Bacillus subtilis subsp. natto. RNAcentral describes it as "tRNA-Arg". It matches the Rfam family "tRNA". From Rfam's summary of the family: Transfer RNA (tRNA) molecules are approximately 80 nucleotides in length. Their secondary structure includes four short double-helical elements and three loops (D, anti-codon, and T loops). The record is from RNAcentral. Lineage: Bacteria; Bacillati; Bacillota; Bacilli; Caryophanales; Bacillaceae.
GCGCCCGUAGCUCAAUUGGAAAGAGCGUUUGACUACGGAUCAAAAGGUUAGGGGUUCGACUCCUCUCGGGCGCGCCA